AUGGCCGAAUCAUCGGAGGAGAUCAAGUCCAUGCUCUCGUCCCUGCUCACCCGCUUCGACGAGAGCAAAAUCGCAGGCGAUAAGCAAACGGAGGCGCAGCUCGCCUUCAACAAGCAGGUCACCGUCGAUCUCGCGCACCUGCGCCGGCAGGUGGAUCUGACGCAGGCAGACGUCGACGAGGUUCGUCAGCAGCGCGACACCGCACCACCACCACCAGCGACUUCGCCGCACGGCCGACCACCAAGUACACCCCGGGGGGGCCCCCUCACCGGCUCCUCGGCGGCACCGGCGGAUCUACACGCGCCGCAACCCCGCCUCGUCAACAAUGGCCCUCCUCUGCUUCAACUCAGACACGAAGGCGGGCGUGUGGACGGCCCACACCACGGGGACUUUCCCCCGGGCCACCACGACAUGGAGCUGCCACGGCCAGAGGAGUACUUCACCAAGCCUCCCAAGCAUGAUUUUCCAAAGUUCGACGGCUCCGCGCCGUACCUAUGGAUCGAUCGCUGCGUCGCCUACUUCGAGCUGUACCGCGUGCCGCCACACAACUGGGUGACCACGGCGACGCUGUACAUCGAAGGACAGGCAGCCCACUGGCUUCAGGCGUACCGUCAGGCUCAUCGUGCUCUGGGCUGGGACGCCUUCUGCGUGGCGAUCCGCGAAGAAUUUGGGGCGGAGGAGUUCGAACUGGAGAUGAAUCAGCUGCUGCAUCUACGGCAAACCAGCACGAUGGCGGAGUAUCGAUCGGCCUUUGAAGCUCACAUGUACCAUCUACUCGCCCUCGAUGCCUCGCUGAGCCCGCGCUUCUUCGUCACCCAGUUCCUCCUCGGAUUACGGGACGAUCUUCGCGCAGCGGUACGCCUUCAGGCUCCGACCAGCAUCACGCGCGCUUCGGUGCUGGCUCGCAUCCAGGAGGAAGAAAACGACGUGCGCCGCCCACGCCCUCGACCGAUCCCAGCCGGGCGCCCCCCGCCUCUGCCCGCCGCGAUUCCCCCGCGAUCACCCGCAGCGGCAGCGGUGGCUCGGCCGGCCAGCGACGAGUUCGCCCGCGAGCGUCAACUCCGCGACUUCCGGCGUGCCAACGGGCUCUGUUUCAAGUGCGGCGAUAGAUACUCCCGCGAGCAUUGUUGCAAGCAACAGACGCAAUUGCUCACCAUCCAAGUGGGCGACUACGGCGAGGUGCUCACUGACGAUGCCAUGCAUGCACUCGACCUGUUGGACGCACCGGAGCCGGCGCAACCUGCACCAGAGUGUUGCCUCAUCUCCACUCAUGCGGUCUCUGGCGGGGACUCACCGCGCACUAUCCGCCUUCGCGCCAUGGUGGGAAAUCAGGUGAUGCUGCUGCUCGUGGACUCGGGCAGCACACACAGCUUCAUAUCCCAGGCGUUCGCGGAACGGAUCAAGGCCACUGGCAUACCUCUGCCGCCCGUGGAAGUGCGUGUCGCCAAUGGGGAGCGCCUGGUUUGCGACAGCAUGAUCCCGGCUGUCCAGUGGUGGUGCCAAGGACACACAUUCAGUACGGACAUGCUCCAGCUUGCGCUCGGGGCAUACGACGGCGUGCUGGGCAUGGACUGGCUCGAACAAAACAGCCCCAUGAACUGUCACUGGCUGGACAAGACCAUCUCCUUCGCGCACCAGGGCAAGACCGUCACACUGCAGGGCGUUCGACCCAAGGGCACAACUGCCAACAUCGACUACAUCGAGCCGGAUCAGUUCGCCAAGUGGCACGCCGGGAACGAUAUCUGGUACAUGGCAGUCGUGGACUGGCGGGCGCCGAGCACGGACAAGGACAAACCACCUCCACCAGCAGUGCAAGCGGUCCUCGAGGACUUUGCCGACGUAUUUGGCGACCCCAAGAAACUGCCACCACACCGGCAGUAUGAUCAUGCCGUCACCCUGGUGGAAGGCGCACCACCGGCGAACGGGCGGCCGUACCGGUACUCGCCGUUGCAAAAGGAUGAGAUCGAGUGCCAAGUCGACGAAAUGCUGCAGUCCGGCGUCAUCACCCACAGCGUGAGUCCCUUCGCGGCACCAGUUCUCCUCGUCAAGAAGAAGGACGGGACUUGGCGUUUCUGCAUCGAUUACAGGCGGCUCAACGACAUCACCAUCAAGAACCAGUUUCCCUUGCCGAUCGUCGACGAACUGCUCGACGAACUGGCCGGCGCGGCUUACUUCUCCAAACUCGACCUCCGCGCCGGCUAUCACCAAAUCCGUAUGCGAGAAGAAGACGAGCACAAGACCGCGUUUAAAACGCACCAUGGCCACUUUCAGUUUCGAGUAAUGCCGUUCGGCCUGACGAACGCACCGGCAACCUUCCAGUGCCUGAUGAAUGCAAUCUUCGGCAAGCACGCGCGCAAGUUCGUCAUCGUCUUCCUCGACGACAUUCUGGUCUUCAGUGGCACCCUGGAAGAGCACGUCGAGCAUCUGAGGCAAGUGUUUGAGCUCCUUCGUCAGCAUGAAUUGUUCGUCAAGGCCUCGAAGUGUUCCUUUACGCAGGAUAGCAUUGAGUACCUGGGGCACAUCAUCUCCAAGGAAGGAGUGGCCACGGACGCCGACAAGACCCAGGCGAUGCUGCAGUGGCCGGUGCCCACGACAGCCACUGAACUCCGCGGGUUCCUCGGUUUAACGGGCUACUACAGAAAGUUUGUAGCACGCUAUGGCAUCAUUGCCAAGCCGCUCACCAACUUACUGAUGAAGAAGGGCUUCACCUGGUCUGAACAAGCACAAACGGCAUUCGAUCUGCUCAAGCGCGCCAUGGCAAGCACACCUGUUCUCGCGCUGCCGGACUUUGACAAGCCGUUCGUAGUCGAGACCGACGCAUGUGACACUGGCAUCGGCGCGGUGCUCGUCCAGGAGGGUCAUCCGGUGGCAUAUUUCAGCAAGGCUCUGGGUGUUCGGAAUCAAAAACUGUCUGCAUAUGAGAAAGAGUUUCUUGCAGUGAUGAUGGCCGUGGAGAAGUGGCGUGCUUAUCUUCAGCGCGGGCCAUUCACCAUCCUUACAGAUCACAAAAGCCUGUCCAAUUUGGGGGACCAACAACUGGAGACAGAUCUGCAACGCAAGGCUAUGUCCAAACUAGUGGGGUUGCAGUUCACAUUUCAGUACCGAAGAGGAGCAGACAACGGGGCAGCUGACGCUCUGUCGCGGGUGGGCGCUGCCCUGAGCGUGGCUGCGCUCUCCCUCUGCCAGCCAGCUUGGGUGCAAGAGGUCGCCAAUUCUUACGCGACGGAUGCCACAGCGCAAGAGAUGCUCUCCCGCCUCGCCAUCCACAGCCCAGACGAGGAGGGGUUCGAGCUGCACAAAGGAUUGAUUCGCCGCGGUGACAGGCUCUGGAUCGGCAGCAACACGGCGCUCCGCACAAAGCUCAUCAGUGCGUUCCAUGACAGCGCGGUGGGGGGACACUCCGGCAUCACCGCCACGCACCAGCGUGUCAAGAAGCUCUUCCUCUGGCCUGGGCAGAAGCGCGACAUCGACGACUUCGUCAAGCAAUGCCUGGUGUGCCAGCAGGCGAAGCACGAGCACUGCCGGCCGCCUGGACAAUUGGCUCCCUUGCCUGUUCCCACGGCACCCUGGCAGGAGCUCACGAUGGACUUUGUCGAGGGGCUGCCGACCUCGGAAGGAUACGACUCCAUCAUGGUGGUCGUCGAUCGCCUUACCAAAUUUGCACAUUUCAUCCCCCUCCGUCACCCAUUCAACGCCACCAAGGUGGCACGAGCAUUCUGGGACAACGUCGUCAAGCUCCACGGCGUGCCAAAUUCGAUCGUCUCCGACCGCGAUCGCGUCUUCACCAGCGCGCUCUGGCGCGAGCUGUUUGCGGCCGCAGGCACCAAGCUGCUGUACUCUAUGGCUUACCACCCGCAGACGGACGGCCAGAGCGAGCGGGUCAACCAAUGCAUGGAGAUGUACCUGCGCUGUGCGAUCCACGACGACCCCAGUCGCUGGCGCCGGUGGCUUCCAGCCGCAGAAUUCUGGUACAAUUCCUCCUUCCACGCCUCCCUUAACUGCACCCCGUUCAAAGCUCUGUAUGGCACCGAGCCCAAUUUGGGGGCCACAGCACUCUGGGACGACAAGCCGGCGCCGGUCCUCGACAACGAGCAGUGGGACUGGGGCGCGCACACCGCCCGUCUUCGUCAGCAACUGCUGCGAGCUCAGCAACGCUUCAAGAAGAAGGCGGAUCGCCAUCGCACGGAACGAAGCUUUCAGGUGGGCGAGGACGUGCUGCUGAAGCUUCAGCCGUACGCGCAGUCCUCCGUCGUCAAUCGACCCUGCGCCAAGCUGGCCUACAAAUUCUUCGGGCCAUUCAAGGUGGAGGCCAAGAUUGGGACCCUCGCCUACAAAUUGAUGCUGCCGCCGGACAGUCGCAUCCACAACGUCUUCCACGUCUCCCAACUGAAGCCGUACACGCCCAACUACACGCCGGUCUUCGCUGAGCUGCCCAAGCCACCGGACCUGACUCUGGUGGAGACGGCGCCCGUGGAGAUCAUCGGCAGACGCAUGGUGAAGCGCGGCGACGCAGCUCUGGUUCAAGUUCAGGUGCGCUGGAACUCCGCUUCACCAGCAGCCGUGACAUGGGAGGAUUUCGAGACGCUCAAGCUUCGUUUCCCGGCCGCCGCAAUCUGGAGAGAGCCGGCCGGAGCGCCAGGUGACGCUCCUUCUGAUGGAGGGGGAAAUGUCACACCUGCACCCACUAGUGCCACGGUGGACCUGAUCAGCCAAUAG
RNAcentral lists this ribosomal RNA (4716 nucleotides) under Triticum aestivum (bread wheat). RNAcentral's name for it is "partial small subunit ribosomal RNA". The record is from RNAcentral. Lineage: Eukaryota; Viridiplantae; Streptophyta; Magnoliopsida; Poales; Poaceae.